CCCUAUCUCCGCGACCCCCACUCCUCCUCGGCUGUUCCCCAACCCUGUCACUGUGCUCCCCUCCCUACUCCCGGCCCGUAGUGGAGGUGACUUUCCUGCGCAGCGCCGCUUCUGAGGGCGGAGAACCCACAGGGAGUGCGACCCCUUUGCACGCUGUGAGUGGGCAACUGUCCGAGGGACUCGAGCCGAUCGAAGGCUGGACGCCCUAUAGGGCUCUUGGCAGUCCACGAAAGACCUGGAGUCCGCCUCCCCAUUUCUCCGGUCGGUGAGUGGCAGGAGGAAAUCGCCAAACAUGUUUUCCCGCUUUGCCUCCCCAACUCGGAAACUUGCAACUUGCCGUGUCCUGGAGGUUGAGACAAUUUGGGGUCUCUUGGCUGCCGUCCAACAGAUUUAUCUCUGAGGGCAGUGUCCUUGGUGAGAGGUCCAAGUAGGUGUGGGCGACAUUGUCCUCCAUCUCAUGAGGGAGCAGCCCUGCACACUAGGGCCCAAAACUCUGCGAAGGAGCUUGGAAGUUCUUCAUCCGUUCCACUUGUUUUGCUACUCCACACACCCUUCUAGGACAUGUUGAUUGCCAACUGCUCUGUGCAGCUUUCCCAUAGCUGUCUGUUCCCGUGCAUUUCGGAGCACCAAGCAAAUACGAGCAGAGAGACCUGGAAAAAAAAAUGAUGAAGACAGUAUUAAUGAUAAAAUUAACAUGGCUGAGUGAAUUGUCAAUGCAAGUUCCUUUACUAACUCUUUGUUAAGUUUUGCUUUGUACUCCUUACAUCCUCUUUCUCUUAAGCCAUUGUUUUAAUUUCUUCUCGUUAUCAUUUUUAAAAGUAACAGAAAUACAGCUUUCUUCCUACCUUCACGAUUGACUUGGUGGAGGUUGGGUUGCAAAGAGGAAGCAGUAAGAAAAAAUAAUUAUUCUAUACAUUCACAAGUCCUUCAAGGCACAAAAUAAAAGUAAGAAAUAGAAAAUAUGUCCUUUCUCCUAAUAAAGGUCUUUAUAAUAAAAUUUAAAUGAAGUUUUGUGUUUCAUAACAGCUUCCCAAAUACUGUUGUAGAUACUAAAAUGUGCCUGUAUGUAUUUCCUUCCACAAUAAUAAUAGUAAUAAUAAACUUUUUUAGGUCCAAAUUAAACAUUUCUCAGCUUAAAUUUCUAUCCUCAAUCCA
RNAcentral lists this long non-coding RNA (1155 nucleotides) under Homo sapiens (human). RNAcentral's name for it is "HSALNT0347078". The record is from RNAcentral. Lineage: Eukaryota; Metazoa; Chordata; Mammalia; Primates; Hominidae.